AUCAAAAUGAGUCUUGUUGUCAUUUAAGGGAGAGCAGCAAUUGAGGUUACAAAUGAAGGUGUUGAUGCUGCAGGGCAUACAAUUGGUACAUCUUUGGAGGUCAUUUCCAACUUAGGAAGGUUCUCAACCCCGAGAGUAUCACACCUUUAGCUAAUGAUGCUGGUUUCUUUUGCUGUGAUCAUGUCAGACUUGAGGCCCUUAGAGGGAUUUGUCAUCGUCUCAGUUUUAUUCGAUACAACAUCUUGCCCUUAUACACCUUAACAAAAUGGGGUAGCCGGACGUAAAAAUAUGCAUCUUGUAGAAACCGUUUGGACCUUACUUCUCUAUGCCAAUUCCUCCUCGUGUCUUCGAGUCUACACUAUUUGUUAAAGUAAAUGCUCGUGACGGUGACGGUACGGUGAUCACCCAUGGUUCUCUUUCUCUCUCUUCCAGGUUACUCCUACCCUAUCUCAUAUCGAAACAUUGGGGACAAUGUUCGGUUUAAGUGCGGGAGGAGAUUUUUAUCGUUUUUCUUUAUUUUUAGUAUGUUUUGUGCGUUUUUAGUUGU
Molecule: long non-coding RNA, 547 nt
Organism: Lathyrus oleraceus (garden pea)
Lineage: Eukaryota; Viridiplantae; Streptophyta; Magnoliopsida; Fabales; Fabaceae
Exons: 5
Source: RefSeq, a predicted model, not a curated record